Long non-coding RNA from Telopea speciosissima, 528 nucleotides. RefSeq lists it as uncharacterized. The transcript has 3 exons. Lineage: Eukaryota; Viridiplantae; Streptophyta; Magnoliopsida; Proteales; Proteaceae. The record is from RefSeq and is a predicted model, not a curated record.
UUGAAUCUUAUGGCUGCACUCUAACAUUAAUUUAUCUUGAUCUGUUGUAAGGGAGGGAAAGGGAUCACAGAUCUGAAGUCUGCUCUUCAGGCAAUUUUUGGUGAAUCUUUGCUUAAGAAUAAGGAGGAUUUUCUUCAAACUUUCUCUACGGAGAGUUGUUACAUCAGAACUUCUAUCUCAAAUGGAAAGGUCAUAGACUGCAAAGCUUCCCAGGAUUGCAGUAACAAAUCUAAUAAUCAUUUGGAAUCAGAGGCAAAUACUGUGGAGGUUCUUUCUACUUCUCAAUUUUCCUGUUCUCAUAUGCAUUAUAUUUUAUUGUGCCAGCUGAAAUCAAAAGAACUGAAUUCUUAUAGGAGAAGCUUAGACUCAAUUACUGGUUUAUAGCAAGUGCUUUCCUCCCUUGAAUUUACAGGUAGUAGCAGUCUCUGUAAUAUCUGUCCUAUAUAAACAAGUAUUUUAAAUGAGUGUGUGGGAAGUGUUUGGUUGUUCGCCUGGGCAACUAUUGUAUAUGCAAUUCCUUUUUUCAGU